AACGGGGGGGCGGGGGCGUAUUCAUCUUUAUCUGGGCGUAAAGGGUGUGUAGGUGGUUUUUAUGCUGUUUUUUGGCAAAAUUUUAUAGUAAACUACAAAGCUGAUUAAUACGAUAAGACUAAGAGUAUAUAAGAAGAUAAUGGUACUCACAGUGUAGAGGUGAAAUUCGGUGAUAUUGUUGGGGGACUAUCGGAGGCGAAAGCGAUUAUCUAUUGUAUACUGACGCUGAGACACUAAAGCAUGGGUAUCAAACAGG
RNAcentral lists this ribosomal RNA (256 nucleotides) under uncultured bacterium. RNAcentral describes it as "partial 16S ribosomal RNA". It matches the Rfam family "Bacterial small subunit ribosomal RNA", at positions 524 to 776 of the family's 1533-position model. The record is from RNAcentral.